GAUGAAGAAUGCAGCGAAAUGCGAUAAGUAAUGUGAAUUGCAGAAUUCAGUGAAUCAUCGAAUCUUUGAACGCACAUUGCGCCCGCCAGUAUUCUGGCGGGCAUGCCUGUUCGAGCGUCAUUACAACCCUCAGGCCCCCGGGCCUGGCGUUGGGGAUCGGCGGAGCCCCCCGUGGGCACACGCCGUCCCCCAAAUGCAGUGGCGGUCCCGCCGCAGCUUCCAUCGCGUAGUAGCUAACACCUCGCGACUGGAGAGCGGCGCGGCCACGCCGUAAAACACCCAACUCUUCUGAAGUUGACCUCGAAUCAGGUAGGAAUACCCGCUGAACUUAAGCAUAUCAAUAAGCGGAGGA
This 352-nucleotide unclassified non-coding RNA is filed under the name soil metagenome. RNAcentral's name for it is "partial contains 5.8S ribosomal RNA, internal transcribed spacer 2, and large subunit ribosomal RNA". The stretch from base 1 to 120 matches the Rfam family "5.8S ribosomal RNA", at positions 35 to 154 of the family's 154-position model. The record is from RNAcentral.